AGAGUUUGAUCAUGGCUCAGGAUGAACGCUGGCGGCGUGCCUAACACAUGCAAGUCGAGCGGAGGGACUGUGAAUGAGGCUUCGGCGGAUUUUACAUUUCCUUAGCGGCGGACGGGUGAGUAACGUGUGGGCAACCUGCCCUGCAGUGGGGAAUAAUCAUUGGAAACGAUGACUAAUACCGCAUACGGUCUCCGGGAGGCAUCUUCUGGAGAAGAAAGGAUUUAUUCGCUGCAGGAUGGGCCCGCAUCUGAUUAGCUAGUUGGUGAGAUAACAGCCCACCAAGGCAACGAUCAGUAGCCGACCUGAGAGGGUGAUCGGCCACAUUGGGACUGAGACACGGCCCAA
RNAcentral lists this ribosomal RNA (345 nucleotides) under uncultured bacterium. RNAcentral's name for it is "bacterial SSU rRNA". It matches the Rfam family "Bacterial small subunit ribosomal RNA", at positions 8 to 334 of the family's 1533-position model. The record is from RNAcentral.